This 1986-nucleotide long non-coding RNA is filed under the name Nannospalax galili (Upper Galilee mountains blind mole rat). RNAcentral's name for it is "lncRNA (ENSNGAG00000024493.1)". The record is from RNAcentral. Lineage: Eukaryota; Metazoa; Chordata; Mammalia; Rodentia; Spalacidae.
CAACCUUCAUAGCAGAUGUAGUUGUUCGGUAUUAUGAAAUGCUAAAAGCAACCUCUAAUUUUGUUCUUUAAAAAAAAAAAUAAAGCAAAACUAAUUUUUUUUUAAAGAACAAAUUACUGUCCUGUGUAGAAACUACUUAGAAACUAAAGUUGAUCCUUUCAUUAAGCAUUUGUUUACUACCCUGUGUAUGAACAUGCAGGAAAAAUAUCCUGCUAAGAAGUCUAAACAGUGGAAUAACACAUUUCACUUCCCUGGGAUGUUUUUGUAGGGCAUAACCUGGGAAUAGGUCACAAGCGCUGGCACAACAGCCUUGGAGCAGGUCUCCUGCAGCAGAUCCUGCCCUCCCCACGGGGUGUGAACAGACCGCAGCCUCACUGUACUCCCCAUAUCACUUUAUUUCCAAAAAUUUUCAACUUUUUUCUACCUUUGCUAAACAUUACUUUUCUUCUUCUACAGAUAUGUUACGCUAUUAAUUUGGGGAAAGAAAUUAUUGAGGUUCAAAAGGACCCAGAAGCACUGGCUCAGUUAAUGCUGUCUAUGCCACUAACCAAUGAUGGAAAAUAUGUUCUGCUAAAUGAGCAACCAGAUGGCAAUGGCGGAAGUCCAAGUGAAAACAGAGGCGCUGAAUCUGAAGCAUAACUCACUUAGGCCUCUGGGGUCAGAGCACGCAGGAAGGAGAGCACCCUCCUUAAGGGAUUUUCAACUUCUCUGAUGUACAGGCACACUGACCUGGUCAGAACGCUGACAGUCGCUUGUGGAAUGUUCCUUCCGAUGCCUUGAUACAGAGACUUGGGAGGGAAACAGUAAGAAAUAGGUGACAUGGCGCCUACCUAUCUACAAUGUUAUUUUAGGUGCUUUGUGGUAAGUCCUUUCUUCAGACUGUGCUGUUGAGUGCUCAGGCAGAAGCCCUGAAAACACAUUUUGGAUGUCAUCUCUUCGGUUUCUAGGGUGCUCUUAAAAUGCAAAAUCCCAGAUUUGUAAUGUGAUAAAUACUAAAUAUUUCCUAUUAAUAUAAUCUAUUUUUGUAUUUUACUUAGUUUUUAAGUGCCUGUCAUUUUGGGAAUUAUGUGUUUAUAAGGAGCUGGUCUCAUGUUUGGACCUUGUAGCAUUCCCAUGGGCAGUUGAGUAGUGAGCACUGCUCUGAGGCCUGCUCACUGGCAGAGAUACAGGGCUAGUACUGGUAACUAUUUCAGGCAAAAGAUGUUUAACUACAAUAGAACCUUACUGAUUCGGCAUUCAAAAGCUUAAGGUCCACUCAGAUACAAUGGCUAUUCACUGUAACCAGGGGAUAGCUAAGAUACGAUGGCUAGUCACCAUGACCAGGGGAUAGCUAAGAUAUGAUGGCUAUUCACUGUGGCCAGGGGAUAGCUAAGAUACGAUGGCUAUUCACUGUGGCCAGGGGAUAGCUAAGAUAUGAUGGCUAUUCACUGUGACCAGGGGAUAGCUAAGAUACGAUGGCUAUUCAAUGAGCCAGACCCUCCUUAAAGAAGGGACCAAUUAAUUGUAAAAACUCACUUAAAGCACAGCUGGCUAUGGGACUUGGUGUGAAGUUCCUAUUUCUACCCCAGACCACUCUCCACUGUGACCAGGGGAUAGCUAAGAUACGAUGGCUAUUCACUGUGGCCAGGGGAUAGCUAAGAUAUGAUGGUUAUUCACUGUGGCCAGGGGAUAGCUAAGAUAUGAUGGCUAUUCACUGUGGCCAGGGGAUAGCUAAGAUAUGAUGGCUAUUCACUGUGACCAGGGGAUAGUUGUACUAGUUCUUGUUUCUUAUGAGCCAGACCCUCCUUAAAGAAGGGACCAAUUAAUUGUAAAAACUCACUUAAAGCACAGCUGGCUAUGGGACUUGGUGUGAAGUUCCUAUUUCUACCCCAGACCACUCUCCAACCACUCCUAAUUGUGAAAUAAGUAUAAAGAUCUUGAAAUCAUACAGUGUGAUUAAUUGUAACCAAGUUCAACAGCCUAUCUUUGUAAUACUAAUUUAGCAAU